CGNAACAAGGGUUCUGUAGGUGAACCUGCGGAAGGAUCAUUAGUGAAUAUAGGACGUCCAACUUAACUUGGAGUCCGAACUCUCACUUUCUAACCCUGUGCACUUGUUUGGGAUAGUAACUCUCGCAAGAGAGCGAACUCCUAUUCACUUAUAAACACAAAGUCUAUGAAUGUAUUAAAUUUUAUAACAAAAUAAAACUUUCAACAACGGAUCUCUUGGCUCUCGCAUCGAUGAAGAACGCAGCGAAAUGCGAUAAGUAAUGUGAAUUGCAGAAUUCAGUGAAUCAUCGAAUCUUUGAACGCACCUUGCGCUCCAUGGUAUUCCGUGGAGCAUGCCUGUUUGAGUGUCAUGAAUACUUCAACCCUCCUCUUUCUUAAUGAUUGAAGAGGUGUUUGGUUUCUGAGCGCUGCUGGCCUUUACGGUCUAGCUCGUUCGUAAUGCAUUAGCAUCCGCAAUCGAACUUCGUAUUGACUUGGCGUAAUAGACUAUUCGCUGAGGAAUUCUAGUCUUCGGAUUAGAGCCGAGUUGAGUUAAAGGAAGCUUCUAAUCAGAAUGUCUACAUUUUAAGAUUAGAUCUCAAAUCAGGUAGGACUACCCGCUGAACUUAAGCAUAUCAAUAAGC
This 622-nucleotide ribosomal RNA is filed under the name uncultured eukaryote. RNAcentral's name for it is "eukaryotic LSU rRNA". The stretch from base 196 to 349 matches the Rfam family "5.8S ribosomal RNA". The record is from RNAcentral.